CCUACGGGUGGCAGCAGUCGAGAAUCAUUCACAAUGGGGGAAACCCUGAUGGUGCGACGCCGCGUGGGGGAAUGAAGGUCUUCGGAUUGUAAACCCCUGUCAUGUGGGAGCAAAUUAAAAAGAUAGUCCCACAAGAGGAAGCGACGGCUAACUCUGUGCCAGCAGCCGCGGUAAUCCAGAGGUCUCAAGCGUUGUUCGGAAUCACUGGGCGUAAAGCGUGCGUAGGCUGUUUCGUAAGUCGUGUGUGAAAGGCGCGGGCUCAACCCGCGGACGGCCCAUGAUACUGCGAGACUAGAGUAAUGGAGGGGGAAGCGGAAUUCUCGGUGUAGCAGUGAAAUGCGUAGAUAUCGAGAAGAACACUCGUGGCGAAGGCGGGUUCCUGGACAUUAACUGACGCUGAGGCACGAAGGCCAGGGGAGCGAAAGGGAUUAGAUACCCCUGUAGUC
Molecule: ribosomal RNA, 446 nt
Filed under: uncultured bacterium
Lineage: Bacteria
Description: partial 16S ribosomal RNA
Rfam family: Bacterial small subunit ribosomal RNA
Source: RNAcentral